AUUGAACGCUGGCGGCAUGCCUUACACAUGCAAGUCGAACGGUAACAGGUCUUUGGAUGCUGACGAGUGGCGAACGGGUGAGUAAUACAUCGGAACGUGCCUAGUAGUGGGGGAUAACUACUCGAAAGAGUGGCUAAUACCGCAUGUGACCUGCGGAUGAAAGCAGGGGAUCGCAAGACCUUGUGCUACUAGAGCGGCUGAUGGCAGAUUAGGUAGUUGGUGGGAUAAAAGCUUACCAAGCCAACGAUCUGUAGCUGGUCUGAGAGGACGAUCAGUCACACUGGGACUGGGACAAGGCCCAGACUCCUACGGGAGGCAGCAGUGGGGAAUUUUUGACAAUGGGCGCAAGCGUGUUCCAGCAAUGCCACGUGCAGGAUGAAGGCCUUCGGGUUGUAAACUGCUGUUGUACGGAACGAAAAGCAAUAGGUUAAUACCCUGGGGUCAUGACGGUACCGUAAGAAUAAGCACCGGCUAACUACGUGCCAGCCGCCGCUGUAA
This 498-nucleotide ribosomal RNA is filed under the name uncultured bacterium. RNAcentral describes it as "partial 16S ribosomal RNA". It matches the Rfam family "Bacterial small subunit ribosomal RNA", at positions 30 to 523 of the family's 1533-position model. The record is from RNAcentral.